GAAAGGUGGCUUGUUUAUAUAAAUCCAGUAGAGAAUCAUUGAAUUAGAGGAAGCAAGACAAUGAUAAUACUGACUUCAUUAGCAAAUAGGCUCAAAUGCAGCAGCAACACAAAGGUAGACAAUGAAAUGAGAAGCUUCAAUACAUUACCUGAAACUGAAUGAAGUAAAAUAAAAAACAAUUUACUACAUGAAAGGUGUUAUUCAAGUCUUUAUUAGGAACUGCUAGAAAAUUUUACUUCAAUUCAGUGUGUUCUUCACAAACAUAUAUUGGGCGGUGAGAAGCUUUAGUUUGGUCAACUGCUAUUUAACAAUAGCCUCUGCACCCCAUCUGGCUGAGAAGUCAUAUGUCCUGCCCUUCUCUACAAACUGGUUUUCAGGAGGCGAGGUAAGGAGAACAAUUGAGAACAGGCCAAGUGACAACACACAAGUGACAAAAAAACAAACAAGAAUAAAUCCUCAAAUCACUUUACAGGGUGGUGCGGAACUUGUAAAUUACAAAGAAAAAAUCUUCACAUGAGCAAAUUAACCAUAUGAAAUUGCUCAACAUGGAUGUUUGCUGAAUAUAAUAUAACCUCAUAGACAAGUUACUUGGUAAGAAAAUGAAAGUUAAAAAACCUGUGUUGUCCAUAACAUGUUCAACACACUGAACCUCAAGCUGAUUCCUCAGCUGAUCCAAAUUAAAAAUGUAUGUACAUGGUGAAGCUUCCCUCAGGACUUCAAGAAAGAUCAAUAUUCAACCUAUAGAAUAGACCCAAUAACAUUUCUCCUCAAUUACCUUUUAACAUUUUAGCAAAAUUGCUGAAUUUCAACAUAGAUCAGCUCCGUAGCAUAUUCUGUAUCAUAUUCUUUAAACAGCAUGUCAAACUAAGAAUGUGCUCACAUAGGCUUAACAACAGACAAAUACUGAGGCACUAUUCAAUGCUUUUUUUAUAACUCCAUCUUCAUUCGGCAUACAAAAAUACGUUCCCACACAGAAAAGCUAAAAGAAUCAAGAAGGCAUGAAAUCCAAAUCACAUUUACAGGGUGAAAUCCAGUGUAUAAAACAAACACACAAAACACCUGCCCAUUUUAACCAACAUAAAGUGAAACUUAAGGAGUGGUUUUCAAACGUUUCCUGGGCACCCCAGCCAUUCCACGUAUUUGACGUACUGCAGGCCACCUCUGUAAACUCAUUAUCAGCUAUAUAAUUCAGGUUAGCUAGUUAAUUAUCAUCAUUUACUUUUCAUGCACAUUGCACAGCAAUGUAAAUGUUCAGCAAAUGUUACAGUUUUGACCAGUUUGCAUUUUUCAACUAGUCCCUAGUUCAGCGUUAAAAAGGAAUUGCGAGACAUCUGGGCGUCCUGAGGAGUGGUCGGAGAACGACUAGUGUAAAUGAAAUACAAAACACGUGUGGUAGCUAGAACCGGGGUGGUGCUGAAAAAGUCCACUGAAACGUGGCAGGCCCGUGGCCCCGGGCCACCUCUCUGUAACGAUCAUGGCUCGGGAGCGGGUAUGGGUCAGACGGGGCCGGGCCAUAACCUUCCACUUCACAGGGCCAAGGGUGGCGGGGUGAAGAAGCCGUCACAGACAGGGCCCGGGGAAACCCAUCAUAACCUGGUGUCUGAACGCCCCCAAUCUUCACGGGGAAAGGACCAGAGUCAAGAUGGGGUCUAGUCCCUGGGGCCAGAGCAUGAUGCGGGUACCGGAGGGGCUCGGGUCUGAACCGGUCAGGGUUAGAGUGAUUAGGGUGGGUCUCAUACUCACAUGGCCCGGUUCUGUAAGUAUCAGCGGUCAGCUGUGUGCCUUCAUAGUGCCAGGAUCUUCUGCACUCCAAGUGUACCUGUGACAUUGCUGCUAGGUCACUCAUAGGUCUACUUAUGACAUCAUUAUGACUGCUCAUGUCUGCUCUGUGGUAGACUGGCUCUGUCUGGUCUCUAUAGGUGGCUAUGCCAUGUUGGAGAUCUACUGUGUCAACCAUGCAAAGCCCUGAGGCACCGUUAUGAGCUCCUGUGAAACCCUGUGCCUGGUGCAGUUUUGGAGGCUGCAAUUUAAAGUACUGUUUUCUGUAAAAGUUCGAUUUCUCCCUCUUUCUUUUUUUCUUUUCACUUUUUCUUCCCCGUCUAUGGUUCCCCACCAUGACCUCUACAAUAAGUCCACAUCCUUUCUGCAUUUCAUCUCUGAAACCCUUUUCUUCCUCUAAAACCUCACAGUCAGUUAGCCCCACUCCUGAAGAGUACCCCCGUUCAGUUAGCCCCUCUCUUGAAGAGUACCCCCAUUCAGUUAGCCCCUCUCCUGAAGAGUACCCACGUUCAGUUAGCCCCACUCCUGAGUACCCCCGUUCAGUUAGCCCCUCUCCUGAAGAGUACCCCCGUUCAGUUAGCCCCUCUCCUGAAGAGUACCCCCGUUCAGUUAGCCCCACUCCUGAGUACCCCCGUUCAGUUAGCCCCACUCCUGAGUACCCCCGUUCAGUUAGCCCCUCUCCUGAAGAGUACCCACGUUCAGUUAGCCCCACUCCUGAGUACCCCCGUUCAGUUAGGCCCACUCCUGUAGAGUACCCCCGUUCAGUUAGCCCCACUCCUGAGUACCCCCGUUCAGUAAGCGCCACUCCAGUUGAGUACCCACGAUCAGACGUCGCUUCUGCUAUAAAGAACUGACUGUCAGUUGAUCUUUCUACUGUUUGGUACAUUCUGUCAAUUGACUUGCUUCCUGUGGAAUACCCACUGUCAGCUAUCCUCUCUCCAGUAGAAUACAGACAGUCUGUUGUCCUGUGGUCCUCUGCAAGCCUCUGUCCCCUAGCAGAAUGACAAAUAUUCCCUUUCACUUCCUCCUGUUCUUCAUCCAUUGGAGGACUGUUGGUCAAGCUCUCCUCUUCCACACAACCCGAGUGAUGACCAGUAGUAAGGAAAAUCGGUUGGGCAGCAGACACUAAGUCAGCGAUCGUAUCUCCAGCACCAGGGUCAGUACUGCGCAGUCUGUGGUCCUGUAUCACGCGGACACCGAACUUUGUAUCGGUGAAUCUGGUAUUCUUUGAAAACAGACGGUCAGCUCUGUCCUGAUCUCUCCCGAUGUACAGGCCGUGGUCAGUUGCCCUCUGUUCCUCUCCCCUAGUCAGCUGUUGAUUGUGUCUGGCUGUGUCGACUCUGGCAUUGACAGUGCGUUUAUAUUCAACUAUCUGUGUGUUUCCAGGUCCCGUUGCAGCUCUGUUUCUUGGCUGACCAACUGAAUGCAAGGAUGUGGAAGGGGGCUGGGGCGAGGCACCUACGCUGGUUGAGUGAACGGGUGAGUGUAUGGGGGAGGCGGGGGAGGCGGGGGAGGGUUCCAGGCUAAAGGAAUUCCUCUCCAGCAGCAGGGGGCCAUCAGUCAAAGGCAGACUCACCUUGAACACCGGCUCACAACGAAUAAGCUUCGCAGGAACUCCGUCUUGUCCAAACCCCUCCCCCACAGACCCGCCCGGUAACACCUGACCUCCGUCUGUGACGUCAUCAUGGAUCAGGGAAAGACCGUUGUCGUGCGGCCAUGGUAAGGCUGAUGCAGGACGCUUUACUGAAGCACCUUUGGUGGAAGAAAAACAGGAGGGAGAGCGACAGAGCAAGAGAGAGAGCGAGGGAGGACACACUCACAGAGUAGAGUGAUAAAUGUCAGGUAAGAGUGAGAUAUUAACACUACAGUUCCCAAGCUAAGGGCAAAAUUAACGACUCAUCCACAUAACAACAACAACAACUGUAGCAAUGUGUGUAAAAGGAUGAUUUGGCGCUAAAAGAGGACGCAACGCAUAGAAUCGGAGUCCAACAAAACUGUGUCUCUCACACUUGAUACCCCAACCCAGACUUAACACACUUGUAAUAAAUAAAGACAGUAUAUCAUCCCACGAGGUCAUACACUCACCAAGCAGGGGGUUGCUUCUGUGGACAAACCCUCCCCUCUGGCUGUCAAUUUGGACAGCAGCCUUCUCCAGCUGGACCGGGAGCCUCCCGGGGGAUAUCACAGUUCUCUGUGACGGGACGAGUGAACACUCAGAACCGGCUAAAGCCUCCUCCGAUUGGCCCUGGGUCACCGUCCGCUUUUGUUCGGUCUUGAUAGCACGCAACAGGAUGAGAACUUGAGGAGAGAGGAAGAGGUGAAGGAGUGAAAGGGAAUGAGAGGAGAGGGUGAUGAAGGGUGAUUUGGUGAUACAGGAUAGACAGAGGAGAGGUGAGAGGAGAGGAUGGACCAGUAAUACCCAUUCUCACCAUCACUCUCACUGUGGGCUGUGACCUCCUCAAACAUAGCAGCAUCCAACCUCAGCACCUAACAGGACAGGACAGAGGACAUUUUCACCCAGACACACACACAGACAUACGCCAAACAUAAAGAAACAUAUGCAGACCUGCACGUCCCCGGUUCCUUCCUUGUUCUCCAGUAUUUGAGCCAUCUCCAUAAGAGGCCGAGCCAUCUUGGACAGCUCAGUGCUCUGCUUCCACUCAGACACAAAGUGAGGGUGAUGGAUUUUCUAUGCAACCACAGCCAACAAACAGAGGAUGCACACAUAUUAGCUUGAAUAAGUAUUUGUUGUACGCAUGCUGCUGUAUUAGGCUAGUCAGUGAUUGUGUACUGACUUGUGCUUACAUUGUACAGGUAAAUCACUGCCUGUAUGACAACAGUCUAUAGACCACGCCAAAGCUGGUCUUUUUUUAAGCUGGAACCCCCGCCCCAAAACCUUGUAUACCAUUGGUUUCCAACUCCACCCUAAACAGUAACACUUUUUUACCCCACCAGCCUCAGACAAGAGCAAAAGAUAAGACCAUGUCUCUGCCCCAGGUUACUUGGCUAUGCAUAAAGUUUACUCAUGCGUUUCCUUUGCCGAAAAACAUUAUUACACACUGGAUUUGUUUCUUAAGCAAGAUGGGAAAGGGGGCUUAGAGGAAUGCAACAAAAACAAAAAACUGCUGUGGAGCAGUUCAUGUAAACUUGACUGAAAGUCCAGAACAUACACUCACCUAAAGGAUUAUUAGGAACACCAUACUAAUACUGUGUUUGACCCCCUUUCGCCUUCAGAACUGCCUUAAUUCUACGUGGCAUUGAUUCAACAAGGUGCUGAAAGCAUUCUUUAGAAAUGUUGGCCCAUAUUGAUAGGAUAGCAUCUUGCAGUUGAUGGAGAUUUGUGGGAUGCACAUCCAGGGCACGAAGCUCCCGUUCCACCACAUCCCAUGCUCUAUUGGGUUGAGAUCUGGUGACUGUGGGGGCCAUUUCAGUACAGUGAACUCAUUGUCAUGUUCAAGAAACCAAUUUGAAAUGAUUCGAGCUUUGUGACAUGGUGCAUUAUCCUGCUGGAAGUAGCCAUCAGAGGAUGGGUACAUGGUGGUCAUUUAAGGGAUGGACAUGGUAAGAAACAAUGCUCAGGUAGGCUGUGGCAUUUAAACGAUGCCCAAUUGGCACUAAGGGGCCUAAAGUGUGCCAAGAAAACAUCCCCCACACCAUUACACCACCACCACCAGCCUGCACAGUGGUAACAAGGCAUGAUGGAUCCAUGUUCUCAUUCUGUUUAUGCCAAAUUCUGACUCUACCAUCUGAAUGUCUCAACAGAAAUCGAGACUCAUCAGACCAGGCAACAUUCUUC
This is a long non-coding RNA of Esox lucius (northern pike), 5575 nucleotides long. Lineage: Eukaryota; Metazoa; Chordata; Actinopteri; Esociformes; Esocidae. The record is from Ensembl.